This 407-nucleotide ribosomal RNA is filed under the name uncultured bacterium. RNAcentral's name for it is "partial 16S ribosomal RNA". It matches the Rfam family "Bacterial small subunit ribosomal RNA", at positions 29 to 526 of the family's 1533-position model. The record is from RNAcentral.
AUUGAACGCUGGCGGCAGGCCUAACACAUGCAAGUCGAGCGGAGCGGCGGACGGGUGAGUAAUGCCUAGGAAUCUGCCUGGUAGCGGGGGAUAGCGUCCGGAAACGGGGGCUAGUACCGCAUACUAUCAGAUGAGCCGAGGUCGGAUGGGCGAGUUGGUGGGGUAAAGGCCUACCAAGGCGACGAGCCGUAACUGGUCUGAGAGGAUGAUCAGUCACACUGGAACUGAGACACGGUCCAGACUCCUACGGGAGGCAGCAGUGGGGAAUAUUGGACAAUGGGGGAAACCCUGAUCCAGCCAUGCCGCGUGUGUGAAGAAGGCCUUCGGAUUGUAAAGCACUUUAAGUUGGGAGGCGUUACCCGCAGAAUAAGCACCGGCUAACUCCGUGCCAGCAGCCGCGGUAAUUC